Molecule: ribosomal RNA, 245 nt
Filed under: uncultured Lachnospiraceae bacterium
Lineage: Bacteria; Bacillati; Bacillota; Clostridia; Lachnospirales; Lachnospiraceae
Description: partial 16S ribosomal RNA
Rfam family: Bacterial small subunit ribosomal RNA
Source: RNAcentral
UACGUAGGGGGCAAGCGUUAUCCGGAUUUACUGGGUGUAAAGGGAGCGUAGACGGCUUUGCAAGUCUGAUGUGAAAACCCGCGGCUCAACUGCGGGAUUGCAUUGGAAACUGUAGUGCUUGAGUACUGGAGGGGUAAGCGGAAUUCCUGGUGUAGCGGUGAAAUGCGUAGAUAUCAGGAGGAACACCGGCGGCGAAGGCGGCUUACUGGACAGUAACUGACGUUGAGGCUCGAAAGCGUGGGGAG